ACUGAGAAUAAUACUCCAUAGGUCUAGAAGGCUGGAAUGCAUCUAGGCUGAAAACUCCGGUGCUCUAGGAUGAGUCUGCGGACUAUCAGGUUGUAGUCAGGGUAAUGACCUGACUAGCCUACGACGGAUACGGGUUGUGAGAGCAAUAACCCGGAGAUGAUAUCUGAGACACGAUAUCAGGCCCUACGGGGCGCAGCAGGCGCGAAAACUUCACACUGUGCGAAAGCACGAUGAGGGAAUCCCAAGUGCUUGCUCGUAAGAGUAAGCUGUUUCUUUGUUUAAAACGCAUUGAGAGUAAGGGCUGGGUAAGACGGGUGCCAGCCGCCGCGGUAAUACCUGCAGCUCUAGUGGUGGCCGCUAUUAUUGGGCCUAAAACGUCCGUAGCCGGUUUAUUAAAUGCCUGGGUAAAUCGUGUAGCUUAACUAUACGAAUUCUGGGUAGACUGAUAAACUUGAGAUCGGGAGUAGUUAGAGGUACUCCUGGGGUAGAGGUGAAAUUCUGUAAUCC
Molecule: ribosomal RNA, 507 nt
Filed under: uncultured archaeon
Lineage: Archaea
Description: bacterial SSU rRNA
Rfam family: Archaeal small subunit ribosomal RNA
Source: RNAcentral